GAUUAACGCUAGCGGCAGGCAUAAUACAUGCAAGUUGAACGGCAGCACAGGUAGCAAUACUGGGUGGCGAGUGGCGCACGGGUGCGUAACACGUAUGCAACCUACCCUAUACAGGCGAAUAACCUUUAGAAAUGAGGGCUAAUACGCCGUAGUAUUACAGAUGGGCAUCUAUUUGUAAUUAAAGAUUUAUUGGUAUAGGAUGGGCAUGCGUCCGCUUAGUUAGUUGGUAAGGUAACGGCUUACCAAGACGAUGAUGGGUAGGGGAUCUGAGAGGACUUACCACCACACUGGUACUGAGACACAGACCAGACUCCUACGGGGGGCAGCAGUAAAGAAUAUUGGGCAAUGGCCGCGAGGCUGACCCUGCCGUGCCGGGUGCAGGAAGACGGCCUUAUGAAUCGUAAUCUGCUUUUAUACGAAAAUAAUAGAGUGUACGCGUACAUUUAUGCAAGUAUCGUAUGAAUAAGCAGCGGCUAACUCCGUG
Molecule: ribosomal RNA, 484 nt
Filed under: uncultured bacterium
Lineage: Bacteria
Description: partial 16S ribosomal RNA
Rfam family: Bacterial small subunit ribosomal RNA
Source: RNAcentral